RNAcentral lists this ribosomal RNA (468 nucleotides) under uncultured bacterium. RNAcentral's name for it is "partial 16S ribosomal RNA". It matches the Rfam family "Bacterial small subunit ribosomal RNA", at positions 28 to 507 of the family's 1533-position model. The record is from RNAcentral.
GACGAACGCUGGCGGCGUGCCUAACACAUGCAAGUCGAACGGAAAGGCCCUGCUUUUGUGGGGUGCUCGAGUGGCGAACGGGUGAGUAACACGUGAGUAACCCGCCCUUGACUUUGGGAUAACUUCAGGAAACUGGGGCUAAUACACGAUAGGAGCUCCUGCUGCAUGGUGGGGGAUGGAAAGCUUCGGCGGUUGGGGAUGGACUCGCGGCUUACCAGCUUGUUAGUGGGGUAGUGGCUGACCAAGGCUUUGACGGGUAGCCGGCCUGGGAGGGUGGCCAGCGACAUUGGGCCUACGGUACGGCGCAGUCGCCUACGGGAGGCAGCGGUCGAAAGUCUUACACAGUAAGGGGGAGCCUGAUGCGGCGGCGCCGCGUGCGGGAUGACGGGCUUCGGGUUGUGAACCGCUUUCGCCUGUGACGAAGCGUGAGUGACGGUAAUGGGUAAGAAAGCACCGGCUAACUACGUG